Molecule: ribosomal RNA, 497 nt
Filed under: uncultured bacterium
Lineage: Bacteria
Description: partial 16S ribosomal RNA
Rfam family: Bacterial small subunit ribosomal RNA
Source: RNAcentral
GAUGAACGCUGGCGGCGUGCCUAAUACAUGCAAGUCGAGCGAACAGACGAGGAGCUUGCUCCUCUGAUGUUAGCGGCGGACGGGUGAGUAACACGUGGAUAACCUACCUAUAAGACUGGGAUAACUUCGGGAAACCGGAGCUAAUACCGGAUAACAUGUUGAACCGCAUGGUUCAACAGUGAAAGACGGUCUUGCUGUCACUUAUAGAUGGAUCCGCGCCGCAUUAGCUAGUUGGUAAGGUAACGGCUUACCAAGGCAACGAUGCGUAGCCGACCUGAGAGGGUGAUCGGCCACACUGGAACUGAGACACGGUCCAGACUCCUACGGGAGGCAGCAGUAGGGAAUCUUCCGCAAUGGGCGAAAGCCUGACGGAGCAACGCAGCGUGAGUGAAGAAGGUCUUCGGAUCGUAAAACUCUGUUAUUAGGGAAGAACAAAUGUGUAAGUAACUAUGCACGUCUUGACGGUACCUAAUCAGAAAGCCACGGCUAACUACGUG